This 2271-nucleotide ribosomal RNA is filed under the name human gut metagenome. RNAcentral's name for it is "bacterial LSU rRNA". It matches the Rfam family "Bacterial large subunit ribosomal RNA", at positions 14 to 2300 of the family's 2925-position model. The record is from RNAcentral.
AGAGCGUAUGGCGGAUGCCUAGGCACUAAGAGGCGAAGAAGGACGCAGCGAACGGCGAAACGCGACGGCGAGCAGUAAGCAGGCAACGACCCGUCGAUGUCCGAAUGGGGGAACCCAUCAUUCCGAGAGGGAUGAUAUCGUCUGAUGAAUAAAUAGUCAGACGAGGCGAGACGCAGGGAACUGAAACAUCUCAGUACCUGCAGGAGAAGAAAGUAAGAACGAUUCCGUGAGUAGCGGCGAGCGAAAGCGGAGGAGCCCAAACCAUCGCAAAGAUGGGGUUAUAGGGCUGCCGACAAAGUCGACUUGACAUGAUAGGAGAAGCGCAGGGGAAGGCGCAGCGAAGAGGGUGACACUCCCGUAUCCGAAAUCGUGGAGAGAGGCGAGGCAGUACCUGAGUACGUCGGGGCACGUGAAAUCCUGACGGAAUUAUCGAGGACCAUCUCGAAAGGCUAAAUACUCCUUAGUGACCGAUAGCGAACCAGUACCGUGAGGGAAAGGUGAAAAGAACCCCGGGAGGGGAGUGAAAGAGAACCUGAAACCAUAUGCUUACAAGAAGUCAGAGCCCGUUAAAGGGUGAUGGCGUGCCUUUUGUAGAAUGAGCCGGCGAGUUAUGAUAUGGAGCGAGGUUAAGCGGGAGACGCGGAGCCGAAGCGAAAGCGAGUCUUAAUAGGGCGACAGUUGCAUGUCAUAGACCCGAAACCGGGUGAUCUAGCCAUGAUCAGGUUGAAGUUGGGGUAAAACCCGAUGGAGGACCGAACCGACCCCCGUUGAAACGUUGGCGGAUGAAUUGUGGCUAGGGGUGAAAUUCCAAACGAACCCGGAGAUAGCUGGUUCUCCCCGAAAUAGCUUUAGGGCUAGCGUCGCGCGAAGUCACGUGAAGGUAGAGCACUGAAUAUGUGAUGGCCUCAUCCCGAGGUACUGAGCAUAAUCAAACUCCGAAUGUCACGAGGACAUGCGCGGCAGUCAGACUGCGGGUGAUAAGGUCCGUAGUCAAGAGGGAAACAGCCCAGACCAUCAGCUAAGGUCCCAAAAUAUAUGCUAAGUGGAAAAGGAUGUGGAGAUGUCCAGACAACCAGGAGGUUGGCUCAGAAGCAGCCACCCUUUAAAGAGUGCGUAACAGCUCACUGGUCGAAUGACUCUGCGCCGAAAAUUUACCGGGGCUAAGCAUAAUACCGAAGCUAUGGAUUUAUAGAGAAUAUAAGUGGUAGGGGAGCGUUCCAGUCAGCGAGGAAGCAUGAUCGUAAGGACAUGUGGAGCGGCUGGAAGAGAGAAUGCCGGUGUGAGUAGCGGCACGUGGGUGAGAAUCCCACGCACCGAAGACCCAAGGUUUCCAGAGGAAGGUUCGUCCGCUCUGGGUAAGUCGGGACCUAAGGCGAGGCCGAGAGGCGUAGUCGAUGGACAACGGGUGGAUAUUCCCGUACCUGGCGUGAGGGCGAUGGAGUGACGGAGAAGGCUAGGCGAUCCAGCUGCUGGAAUAGCUGGUGCAAGCGAGGUAGGGGACAUCCAGGCAAAUCCGGAUGUCAUAACCCGAAGACGUGAAGCGUAUGGAACAUUACGAUAAGUACAGAAGUCGCCGAAGCCAUCUUCCAAGAAAAGCUUCUAGCGAUACCUCAAGUCAGCCCGUACCGAAAAUGGACACACAUGGGUGAGGAGAGAAUCCUAAGGUGAGCGAGAGAACUAUAGCUAAGGAACUCUGCAAAAUGACUCCGUAACUUCGGGAGAAGGAGUGCUCAGUGAAAGCUGAGCCGCAGUAAAACGGCCCAAGCGACUGUUUACCAAAAACACAGCUCUCUGCCAAGACGCAAGUCGAAGUAUAGGGGGUGACGCCUGCCCGGUGCUGGAAGGUUAAGAGGAGUGGUCAGUCUUAAGGCGAAGCCAUGAAUUGAAGCCCCAGUAAACGGCGGCCGUAACUAUAACGGUCCUAAGGUAGCGAAAUUCCUUGUCAGGUAAGUUCUGACCCGCACGAAAGGCGUAACGAUUUGGGCGCUGUCUCAGCUGUAGACUCGGUGAAGUCUUAGUACCUGUGAAGAUGCAGGUUACCCGCGACUAGACGGAAAGACCCCAUGGAGCUUUACUGUAGCUUGAUAUUGGACUUUGAUGCAAGAUGUACAGGAUAGGUAGGAGACUGAGAGACAUGCACGCCAGUGUGUGAGGAGUCGCUGUUGGGAUACUACUCUUCCUGUAUUGGAGUUCUAACCGGAUGCCAUAAGCUGGCAACGGGACAGUGUCAGGUGGGCAGUUUGACUGGGGCGGUCGCCUCCCAAAGAGUAA